GUCUAUGGUCAGAACACCCAGAAUGCGCCCGAUCUUGUCAGAUUUCAGAAGCCAAGCAGGGUCGGGCCUGGUUUAUACUUGGAUGGGUGAAAAGUGAUCGGAGUGCGGCCAGCUUGCAGGGGGUGGUCAGUGUUUGCU
Capra hircus (goat) is the source of this 138-nucleotide ribosomal RNA. The record is from Ensembl. Lineage: Eukaryota; Metazoa; Chordata; Mammalia; Artiodactyla; Bovidae.